UUAAGGCCCCCAGCAGACUACUGGGUUGAUAGGCCAGAGAUGGAAGCCCUGUGAGGGGUGGAGUUGACUGGUACUAAUAGGCCGAGGGCUUGCCACAACAU
RNAcentral lists this ribosomal RNA (101 nucleotides) under Pseudonocardia sp. SCN 72-51. RNAcentral's name for it is "partial 23S ribosomal RNA". It matches the Rfam family "Bacterial large subunit ribosomal RNA", at positions 2828 to 2925 of the family's 2925-position model. The record is from RNAcentral. Lineage: Bacteria; Bacillati; Actinomycetota; Actinomycetes; Pseudonocardiales; Pseudonocardiaceae.